CUUUGUAUGUCACCUGUAUUAGCAUUUAUAUUCCUCACUGAGUCUGCUCAGUGUACUCUUCUGUUCAUUCCAUGAACAUACUUCUAAAAUAUAUCUGCAAUCUCAUGUAGGCCAGAGCUGGCAACCAGCAAAGCAUUUCAUUUCUCUCUGCCUUAUCUCAUUUAGCCCACAAACGAGAGCAAGUGUGAACAGCAAACUUUCUACAUGAUGGAGGGUCAGGGCGACAGCCUGAAGAGGCAGCAGCUUGAUGUCAUCAGCAUCUUCAUAGUACUCAUUUAGAAUCCUAUUUCUUUUUAGAAAUGAAGACCUGGUUUCCCUACCCACUUCUGGAGGCUGGGUACCGUCCUGCAAAACUUGCUUUCUCAGCAGAAAGAGGUUCUCCAAGAAAGCAGUGCCCUAAAUUCUGCUGUUCACCAUCUGAAAGAUGCAGCCAGAUGAUAUCACUAGUAUGAUAUGUGUUGGAUUACAGCUCUGCCUUCCACAGAGAGGCUAUUUCAGUAAAGGACUUGAACCUAUGAUCUAGGUAGAAGGAAGUUUUUGAAAUGUGCUUAAAGAAGGGAUGGAUCUAAAGUUUCAUCAUUAUUCUUACACGCUUCU
Molecule: non-coding RNA, 597 nt
Organism: Sturnus vulgaris (Common starling)
Lineage: Eukaryota; Metazoa; Chordata; Aves; Passeriformes; Sturnidae
Source: RefSeq, a predicted model, not a curated record